This 253-nucleotide ribosomal RNA is filed under the name uncultured bacterium. RNAcentral's name for it is "partial 16S ribosomal RNA". It matches the Rfam family "Bacterial small subunit ribosomal RNA", at positions 524 to 776 of the family's 1533-position model. The record is from RNAcentral.
UACGGAGGGUGCGAGCGUUGUCCGGAAUCACUGGGCGUAAAGGGCGCGUAGGCGGCCCGUCAAGCGUGUGGUGAAAGCCCGGGGCUCAACCCCGGGUCGGCCGUGCGGACUGGCGGGCUCGAGCACUGUAGGGGCGGGUGGAAUUCCGGGUGUAGCGGUGGAAUGCGCAGAUAUCAGGAGGAACACCGAUGGCGAAGGCAGCUCGCUGGGACGGUACUGACGCUGAGGCGCGAAAGCGUGGGGAGCGAACAGG